ACUUGCCCUGAUAUUGCGGGUCGUAGCGGCUCGUAUUGCAUGUGACUGCAUUUCUGUAUUGCACACAGUUCAGGUCGUUCACAGCUGUCGAGGUAAAACUUUUCAAGUGUGAGUUCAUUUGUACGACAAUACUCGCUAUUUUUCAACGAAGAUUUUUUUGUUGAAAAAAGAUGUCUGUGUUAAGAGUAACUGGUUGUGUUGUUGUCCUGGUCUAUCUCUUCAUUGGUGUUGAUAGUCAACUGCAGUGUUGGUGUACGGGAGUAUGCUCUGGAACAAACGACACAACAUGUUCAGCAGGACAGGUCUGCUUCACAGGAGAAAUCUAUAACACAAAUACAAAAAAAAUGAAGCGUGUCCAAGGUUGUAAAGAUCAUGGGAAUUGUUACGAAAAAAAGCACUGUG
This 402-nucleotide unclassified non-coding RNA is filed under the name Dendronephthya gigantea. RNAcentral describes it as "putative uncharacterized protein DDB_G0290521, transcript variant X1". The record is from RNAcentral. Lineage: Eukaryota; Metazoa; Cnidaria; Anthozoa; Malacalcyonacea; Nephtheidae.